CCAGAGUGCGUUUCAGACCGCUGCCCGCCUGUGGGAACUGGGCUGCCUCACAGGCCGGGCUCUGCAGGCGCUCAGUGGGGAACUAGACCGGAAACCUUUAGGGGGUGGCUCUCUGCAUCCUCUGGGACCCAGAUGGGAAGCGGUGGCUUCCUCUGGUGUCCUUAACGAAGAUUCUCGUUCACAUUUCCAAAGUUGCUUUGUUCAGCUUUGCAAGUUAACAAUUCAUGGAUGAGAGCUGCAGAUCUGGUCCCUCCUGACAGUGAACAGCAAGGUUAUCGCUCAUGCCCAGUAGCCACACGGAACUCAGAAGCUGUCAGCCAGGAUCUGAACUUGCAACCUGAGAGGUGGAUGGUGGUGGGACAUGCUGGUGGGCAGGAGCUGAGGACCUGGGCGGCAGAGCCAGGACAUCCCUCCCUCAUCUUCAGUGUCCCGCUGGAAGUGGAGGAAAGCGAGGCCCAGCACGCGCAGUCCCGGGGGGCUUCACCAUCCAUCUGCUGUGGUCCCGUGGGGCUCUACUCCAGCCCCUCUCACCGGUUGCUAGGCUUCCAUGGACUGAGCUCUGGUGGAAUGAUUGUAACUGAUCCCGAAGCUUGCACAGUGCAUGGUGACCAAACACGGUGGCUCCGCUGGCUCCAUCUGGUACUGACCGCCUCACAGGGUCAGAUGAGGGCUGGAUCCCGCUGGCCAGCCGGGCCUGGGGGGCCCUGAGCUGGGCUUUGAGGUUGGGGUUGGCGAAACUCUGCACAGCCAGCCCAGGAGCAGAGCCUGACGCCCUCUGCAGGGAAGGCCAAGGUGGCAGCCCCACAGCCUCCAGUCAGUUCUCGGCUGGGCAGCAUGCAGCCUCCAUCUCCCACCAGCUCUGCUAUUCUGGAGCAGGAGUGCUUCCGGCAUGGUGGGUGCCACAGCCUAGAGAAUUUCCUGCCUGGGCAGAAAGCUCGGGACACUGACACUGUCUGCUGGCUUGGGUGGGGGAGAAAGCCUAUGUUCAAAUGUGACCGUAAGUGUGACAAAGGCCAUUUCUGGGCUGGUUGAGUUUAAAGGAGACAUUUCUAUGGUUUGUAAAGUCUGAUCCAUGUUGCUGAAUCAUUUAUGUUUAAUAUGUACAUUUACACAUAAGUAUAUGUUGCCUUUUCAAUGUUUUCAGAAAACAGUGCUUUGAAGCCAGGAUAGCAAUUUGAUUGAGACUUGCUAUAGUCAAAAAUAAAAUAA
This is a non-coding RNA of Heterocephalus glaber (naked mole-rat), 1209 nucleotides long. NCBI's taxonomy places the organism in Eukaryota, Metazoa, Chordata, Mammalia, Rodentia, Bathyergidae. The record is from RefSeq and is a predicted model, not a curated record.